UGUUAAUUGUAAUUUAAAUUUUAUUCUGAGUGGAACAAUCAUAUAUGUAUAGAUUAAUUCAACAUUUGACCAGAAUGAAUGCAAUAAAAAUUGUAUGUCUCGUAACUUUAAGGAUAAUUAGUACUCUUGGUGAAAAUUCCAAUAAUGGAGUGAACUGUCUCUCGAUUGAAGAAAGUCGCUAUGGAGAACUUCAUUGUAGAAAUAUUUCAAGUGUUUCUAUUAAACCAUUUUGGUUUGACGAACACCAGAAAUGUGCAUAUCAUAUUUCUUCAACAAGUCUAAAUGGACGUUUAACAAUGGAAUGUCAUGGUUACUUCACGUGCCAUACUAAUAACUAUCGAUCAAACCGACCAAAGAGGUAUCAACACCCGAACAGACGUUUUCAUUGUAACGACUGUUUUCCACUAUACUCUGGAGAUAUAGCAAGAAUCAAAUGCCAGGCAUCCAGUGCAGUAAACAUUGACAAUAUGAAGUAUGAUAACGAAAUUUGUGAAGCUCCCAUGUUGUCCAAAAACCAAUAUCUCUCAGAAAAGAAAAUAUGUGAAAAUUCGUUUACAUGUUCCAUCGAAAACACUGAUAAAAAUGAAAGCAUUGAUGUUCACU
This is a long non-coding RNA of Mytilus californianus (California mussel), 603 nucleotides long. RefSeq lists it as uncharacterized. Lineage: Eukaryota; Metazoa; Mollusca; Bivalvia; Mytilida; Mytilidae. The transcript has 3 exons. The record is from RefSeq and is a predicted model, not a curated record.